UAAUACAGAGGUCCCAAGCGUUGUUCGGAUUCACUGGGCGUAAAGGGUGCGCAGGUGGUUUGGCAAGUUUGACGUGAAAGCCCCGGGCUUAACCCGGGAAUGGCGUUGAAAACUGCUUGAACUGGAGGGUUGGAGGGGGGACUGGAAUUCUUGGUGUAGCAGUGAAAUGCGUAGAUAUCAAGAGGAACACCAGUGGCGAAGGCGAGUCCCUGGACAAACCCUGACACUGAGGCACGAAAGCCAAGGGAGCAAACAGGAUUAGAUACCCUGGUAGUCUUGGCUGUAAACGGUGCGCAUUUGCUGUAAACGGAAUCGACCCCGUUUGUGGCGAAGCUAACGCGUUAAAUGCGCCGCCUGGGAAGUACGGUCGCAAGAUUA
Molecule: ribosomal RNA, 378 nt
Filed under: uncultured bacterium
Lineage: Bacteria
Description: bacterial SSU rRNA
Rfam family: Bacterial small subunit ribosomal RNA
Source: RNAcentral